This 253-nucleotide ribosomal RNA is filed under the name uncultured bacterium. Its description in RNAcentral is "partial 16S ribosomal RNA". It matches the Rfam family "Bacterial small subunit ribosomal RNA", at positions 524 to 776 of the family's 1533-position model. The record is from RNAcentral.
UACAGAGGUCUCAAGCGUUGUUCGGAAUCACUGGGCGUAAAGGGUGCGUAGGCGGCGGGGAAAGUCAGAUGUGAAAUCCGGAGGCUCAACCUCCGAAUUGCAUCCGAUACUCCCUCGCUAGAGAGUUGUAGGGGAGCUUGGAAUUCUCGGUGUAGCAGUGAAAUGCGUAGAUAUCGAGAAGAACGCUCGCAGCGAAGGCGAAGCUCUGGGCAACAUCUGACGCUGAUGCACGAAGGCUAGGGGAGCAAACGGG